UCAGGCCUAACACAUGCAAGUCGAACGGCAGCACGGGUGCUUGCACCUGGUGGAGAGUGGCGAACGGGUGAGUAAUACAUCGGAACGUACCUUAUCGUGGGGGAUAACGCAGCGAAAGCUGUGCUAAUACCGCAUACGCCCUGAGGGGGAAAGCGGGGGAUCGCAAGACCUCGCGCGAUUAGAGCGGCCGAUGCCUGAUUAGCUAGUUGGUGGGGUAAAAGCCCACCAAGGCGACGAUCAGUAGCUGGUCUGAGAGGACGAUCAGCCACACUGGGACUGAGACACGGCCCAGACUCCUACGGGAGGCAGCAGUGGGGAAUUUUGGACAAUGGGGGCAACCCUGAGCCAGCAAUGCCGCGUGAGUGAAGAAGGCCUUCGGGUUGUGAAGAUAGUUGUCAGGGAAGAAACACCGGCUCUAACACAGUCCGGGAAUG
RNAcentral lists this ribosomal RNA (434 nucleotides) under uncultured bacterium. Its description in RNAcentral is "bacterial SSU rRNA". It matches the Rfam family "Bacterial small subunit ribosomal RNA", at positions 42 to 471 of the family's 1533-position model. The record is from RNAcentral.